Rosa rugosa (rugosa rose) is the source of this 568-nucleotide long non-coding RNA. RefSeq lists it as uncharacterized. The transcript has 3 exons. The record is from RefSeq and is a predicted model, not a curated record. Lineage: Eukaryota; Viridiplantae; Streptophyta; Magnoliopsida; Rosales; Rosaceae.
AAACUCGGGCUCCUUUUGCUAGGACCUUUCCCUUAGCUGAAAGAAAAAAAGAACCAACCCUAGAUCUAAAAACUCGGGCUCGUUUUGCCGCCUCUGACUUUCAGCCAAUCUCUCCCUCACACGCUCGAUCUCACUCUCAUGAACCUCAGUCCCUCAAUCCACCCUCAAUCCCUUUCACCCUCUCAAGCUCACACACACUCUCAUCCUCCUGCAAUUCCGGCAAAGCAAGUUUGGGUAUGGAAGUUUUGGGUAUAGAAGUUUGGGUAAACAAAGCAUAGACGUCCUCAAGUUUGGUUCGAUUUCUGGUUCGAUUUCGAAUUCUUCAAGCUUGAGACCUGAUAAACAAGAACCCAUCUCUAACACAAGACACAUUUCCACAAGUGAUAGAGUAGACAAAAGGCCAAAUCCAUACAUUCUAGAUCAAAAUCAAUGAAGCAAAUGGCUCCGUAGUCAAAGGCAUCUAUCUAGACGUGGAAACCUUUACGCCACAAACAGGAAAUGAAACAACAACUUUCACACUAGCCCAUCCUCUUCCUGACAAAAAAGAGUCCCUGAUAAACAAAACAGU